This 246-nucleotide ribosomal RNA is filed under the name uncultured bacterium. RNAcentral's name for it is "partial 16S ribosomal RNA". It matches the Rfam family "Bacterial small subunit ribosomal RNA", at positions 108 to 353 of the family's 1533-position model. The record is from RNAcentral.
GAGUAAUGUCUGGGAAACUGCCCGAUGGAGGGGGAGUAACUACUGGAAACGGUAGCUAAUACCGCAUAACGUCGCAAGACCAAAGAGGGGGACCGUUCGGGCCUCUUGCCAUCGGAUGUGCCCAGAUGGGAUUAGCUAGUAGGUGGGGUAACGGCUCACCUAGGCGACGAUCCCUAGCUGGUCUGAGAGGAUGACCAGCCACACUGGAACUGAGACACGGUCCAGACUCCUACGGGAGGCAGCAUG